RNAcentral lists this ribosomal RNA (1524 nucleotides) under Archigetes sp. 1 AW-2020. RNAcentral's name for it is "partial large subunit ribosomal RNA". It matches the Rfam family "Eukaryotic large subunit ribosomal RNA", at positions 44 to 961 of the family's 3401-position model. Lineage: Eukaryota; Metazoa; Platyhelminthes; Cestoda; Caryophyllidea; Caryophyllaeidae. The record is from RNAcentral.
CACUAAGCGGAGGAAAAGAAACUAACCAGGAUUCCCCUAGUAACGGCGAGUGAAGAGGGAAAAGCCCAGCACCGAAGCCUGUGGCAGUUUUGCUGCUAGGCAAUGUGGUGUUUAGGUCGGCUCGUGGGAUCGCCACUCCACUCGAAGUCCAGCAUUGAGUAUGGUUCCCAGGAAUUGGCCCAUAGAGGGUGAAAGGCCCGUACGAGUGGAAGUGUCAGAUGUGUAAGGCGAUUCACCAGGCCGGCCUUAGAGUCGGGUUGUUUGCGAAUGCAGCCCAAAGCGGGUGGUAAACUCCAUCCAAGGCUAAAUACUAGCACGAGUCCGAUAGCGAACAAGUACCGUGAGGGAAAGUUGAAAAGUACUUUGAAGAGAGAGUAAACAGUACGUGAAACCGCAUAGAGGUAAACGGGUGGCGUCAAGCUGCAAGCCCAGAGAAUUCAGUCGGUCAGGGUGUGUGCCCAGGGAGUUUGGCUAGUCCGCCGGUAAAUGGCGGGCCCAGCUGUCAAAGGCUGGGAUUUGCGUACCGGGAGGUAGCCGGAACUUGCUAGCCAUCUGUUGGACUGUCUGGCCGAUGCACUUUCUCUGUUGGUGAACACCACGACCGGUGGUACUGCCAGUCUGCUGUGGCCAGCUUCAUUGCACGCCUCGGUGUGUGAUGAUCACAGACAAUUUCAGUGCACGGUGCUCGUUUGUUUCUUGCAGACGGGCAUGUUAUCGGGUACUGGUUGUAAACGGGUCGGCCUGUCGACUUGACUGUAGUCGGAGUUGGCGGGUGACUCGGUGGGCUAUGGUGGUAUGAAUAACUGUGCAGGGCACCGGAGUUUUCGGUCCGAUGGUGAUCGCUUGCGAUUGCCGCCGGCUGCGCACGUCCUGCAGUUUAGCGUGUGUUGUGUGUGUGCAGCACAGAUGGCGCUGCUACUGCCUGCCAGUCGUUGGGUCUGAUUGUCGUGUCGCCUGCCAAAAUGGCGGGUCCGGCAGUGGCCUGGCGGUGGAUGGUGUUAGUGGACGGCGUUGUCAUAGUGCAGCCGGUCGAUGGGCCAGAUAGUCUGUGGUGUAGUGGUAGACGAGCUACCCGACCCGUCUUGAAACACGGACCAAGGAGUUUAACAUGCGCGCGAGUCAUUGGGUAGUACGAAACCCAAAGGCGCAGUGAAAGUGAAGCCUCGACAUAUAUUGUUCUCGGGGUGUGGUGAGAUCCCGCUGUUUCUCGCACACAGCUGUCCAGCUAGACGAGCAGUGGGCGCAUCACCGGCCCGUCCCAUGAUGUGGCUAUUUGUCGGUGGCAGCCUAUGCCAUUGUCGGCUCUCGGGUCGGCGGUGGUGGUUGUCGUUCUGGCGAGUACGUCAUCGGGGCGGAGCAUGAGCGCGCAUGUUGAGACCCGAAAGAUGGUGAACUAUGCUUGCGUAGGUUGAAGCCAGAGGAAACUCUGGUGGAGGACCGCAGCGAUUCUGACGUGCAAAUCGAUCGUCAAACGUGAGUAUAGGGGCGAAAGACUAAUCGAACCAUCUAGUAGCUGGUUCCCUC